UGUUUGUUUCAAUACAUAUAACUAAGACUGGAGCACUACCGAGAUGAUUAGAAUAGCCCCUACACAGGAGGGCACUCGCGUCUGUGAAACGUUCCGUGAUUUU
Mastomys coucha (southern multimammate mouse) is the source of this 103-nucleotide small nuclear RNA. Lineage: Eukaryota; Metazoa; Chordata; Mammalia; Rodentia; Muridae. The record is from RefSeq and is a predicted model, not a curated record.